Piliocolobus tephrosceles (Ugandan red Colobus) is the source of this 2621-nucleotide long non-coding RNA. NCBI's taxonomy places the organism in Eukaryota, Metazoa, Chordata, Mammalia, Primates, Cercopithecidae. The record is from Ensembl.
UAGUAAUAAAAAUUGUAUACAAACAGAAACAGUAAAUUGUCAUAAUCUUUUAUAUUUUAAGACUCAUAAAUUUAACCAACUUUCAUUUAAUGAUGAUUUUGUUUCAAAAACAUUCUUAACGUAUCCAUAUAUAUAUAAAAUAUGCAUUUCUCAAUCAGAUUAUAUAAUUAAAAUUGGUAUAAAAAAAAAAAAAAAAAAAAAAAAAAAAAAAGGAAGUCAGAACAAAGAAGAUAUAAAAAAAGAUUUUACAAAUUUAGUUUCUAAUUAUAUGGAAAAAGUAAAAAACGAAAAUGAGAGUAAAGAUAUGAACGAUUCAGAAAAAGCUAAACGUAAUAUAAUAAACAAUAAUUUGAACAAUGUUAGUAGCAAUUCCAAUAGUUAUAGUACUACUAGUGGAGACCAUAAAGAACGAUAUCGAGUGACAAUCGGAAAGGUUAUAUGCCUAGUCGUUCGAAUCAAAUAUGAUGAGUAUUAUUGUUUAAAAAAAUUAUUAAAAAAAAGAAUGAACAUUCAAAAAGAAGAAAUCAAAAACAAUACGCUAUAUGCAAAUGAAGAGGUACAAGGUAUACCAAAUGCUUAUUUAGAUUAUUGUAUAAGUAGUCAAUAUACACAUAAAAUGAAAAAAAUGUUAUUAACGGUUAAUACUGAAGAUGAAACUAUUACGCCAACGGUAACAGCAACAGCAACAGCAACAGCAACAGCAACGGCAGCGGCAGCGGCAACGCCAACCAUAGCCAAUAAUACACAGCGUAAUGAAAAAUUAAUUAGAAAAAAUAAUAAACUAAUUCAAUCUGUUAAAGCACAUGCAAAAUACUAUAAAUUGAUAUUACUACAUGAACAUAGUAAAAAAGAAUUUGGUUAUUAUAUUUUUGAGCACAGUGAAGAGGUACAAUGUAUAUCAUUCGGUUAUUUAAAUAACAAAGAAUAUAUUUAUAUAGGGACAAGCUUAAAUAUUAAUGAAAGAAUAGAGACACAAGGUAAUAUUUAUAUUCUAGAUUUUAGUAAUAUAUUUAUAAAGUAUGAUGAAAAUGUCAACAUGCAUGAUUUAUUUGUGGAUCUUUAUACGGAUGAAAAAAAACGUACUACCAAUUGGACGACUAUAAAUGGGACGACUAUAAAUGGGGCUACUAUUAAUGGUGCUAUUAUUAAUGAGGCUACUAUUAAUGGUGCUACUAUUAAUGGGGCUACUAUUAAUGGGGCUACUAUUAAUGGGGCUACUAUUAAUGGAACAUGUGUUGAUAAUGUUAAUGCGAAACAUGUUGAGGAAAUAAAUAAACAUAAUGGUGGUGGUGUUGUCACUGAUAUUGGUACUAUUAUUAACACUAACACAACAUGUGACGACAAUGACAAUGACAAGAGUAUGAUGUGGUGUACCGGAAAUGGUAUCAAAAAUAACAGUGAUGAUGAAAACAGUCUAAACAAACAAGAACUUAACAAAGAGGGUAAAAAAAGAAAAGGUGUUAAAAAAGGAAAGCUAGUUGUAUAUAUGAAAAAAACAUAUAACAGCUCUGUUACUCAAAUUCAACCAUAUUAUUUUUUUGAAAAUAGUAAUAAAAGUAUGAAAGAUCUUGAUAGUAACAACCAUAGUAGUGACAUUAACAAUAACAAUUAUAAUGACAGUAAUAAUAAAAACAACAUAGGUAACAAAAAAGGGUUAUACUAUUGUAAUAAUUAUUAUGGUAACAUUCUUCAUAGUAUCAAUUCGAAAAUAUUUAUUCAUGAAGUUAAUGAUAAUGAUUUUACAAAAGGUGCUUUUAUAGAUACCAAUUUUUAUAUUAGCGACAUUAAAAUAAUAAAAAAUUUUAUUAUAGUAGCAGAUUUAUAUAAAGGUAUUUAUAUAAAUAUGUAUAAUUAUGAACAUCAUUAUGAUAGUCGUAGUAUCAUACCAAUUUCUAAAACUGUUUAUAAUAAUAAUUUAAAUAUUUUAUGUUGCCAUUAUAUUGUUUUUGAGUCUUUUAUUUCUAUUGUUGCAAUGGACAUAUACAAUAACAUAUUAGUAUUUUCACAUAAAAAUAAUAAAGAUAUCGACCACUUAUUCAUAUUUAAUUAUUUUAAUUUUAAUAAAAGAGUUCUUAAAUUUAUCAAUGUACCACAUGAAAAUCAAAAAUCGAAUGCAGCUUUAUCACUCGCGAAUGAUGGUAGUGUUUAUUUAUUUCAACCUGUACAUAAUAAAACUUUUAUUUUUUUUAAAGAAAUUUAUAAAAUUGUAAAAAAAUAUAUUUUCCCCAAUUUAGCCAUGCAUGUUUACGCUGAUUUGAAACCGGAUAUUUUCGUUCAGUCAAUUGUGUUAAAUCUGUACAAAAAAAAUGACACUUUUUUGUUAAAAAAUAUUUUAUUUGAUGACUUGUUAAGGUAAAAAAAAUGACUAGCUAUUAUAGAUAGCCAAAGGGAUAGAUAAAUCUACCCUUUAAAAAAAAUGGAAAAUGGAAAGAUAAAAAAAAAAAAAAAAAAAAAAAAAAAAUAUACAUGCACACACACACACACACACACACAUACAUACAUACAUACAUACAUACAUACACACAUACAUACAUACAUACAUACAUACACACAUACAUACAUACACACACACAUACACACACACACAUACACAUACACAUAUACUCAUAUGUGCUCAUAGC